GUGCUUGUGCGGUAGCACAUACACUCAAACCGGAACGACACAGAGAAGAUGAGCACGGCCCUGCGUGAGGAUGACACGCAAACUCCUGACGUGCUCCACAUUUUU
Small nuclear RNA from Equus asinus (donkey), 105 nucleotides. The record is from Ensembl. Lineage: Eukaryota; Metazoa; Chordata; Mammalia; Perissodactyla; Equidae.